This 497-nucleotide ribosomal RNA is filed under the name uncultured bacterium. RNAcentral's name for it is "partial 16S ribosomal RNA". It matches the Rfam family "Bacterial small subunit ribosomal RNA", at positions 28 to 507 of the family's 1533-position model. The record is from RNAcentral.
GACGAACGCUGGCGGCGUGCCUAAUACAUGCAAGUAGAACGCUGAAGCGAGGAGCUUGCUCUUCUUGGAUGAGUUGCGAACGGGUGAGUAACGCGUAGGUAGCCUGCCUUGUAGCGGGGGAUAACUAUUGGAAACGAUAGCUAAUACCGCAUAACAAUGGAUGACACAUGUCAUUUAUUUGAAAGGGGCAAUUGCUCCACUACAAGAUGGACCUGCGUUGUAUUAGCUAGUAGGUGAGGUAAUGGCUCACCUAGGCGACGAUACAUAGCCGACCUGAGAGGGUGAUCGGCCACACUGGGACUGAGACACGGCCCAGACUCCUACGGGAGGCAGCAGUAGGGAAUCUUCGGCAAUGGGGGCAACCCUGACCGAGCAACGCCGCGUGAGUGAAGAAGGGUUUCGGAUCGUAAAGCUCUGUUGUAAGUCAAGAACGGGUGUGAGAGUGGAAAGUUCACACUGUGACGGUAGCUUACCAGAAAGGGACGGCUAACUACGUG